UUUCCGUAGGUGAACCUGCGGAAGGAUCUUCAUAAUAAAGUGUUUUAUGGCACUUUUUAAAAAUCCAUAUCCACCUUGUGUGCAAUGUUAGAUCUCGUCAAUCUUGGCGAGAUUUUUAUACAUCAACUCAUUCUUUAACUAAUUUGUCUGAAAAAUAUUAUGAAUACUUAAUUCAAAAUACAACUUUCAACAACGGAUCUCUUGGCUCUC
This 210-nucleotide unclassified non-coding RNA is filed under the name plant metagenome. RNAcentral's name for it is "partial contains small subunit ribosomal RNA, internal transcribed spacer 1, and 5.8S ribosomal RNA". The record is from RNAcentral.